This 454-nucleotide ribosomal RNA is filed under the name uncultured organism. Its description in RNAcentral is "bacterial SSU rRNA". It matches the Rfam family "Bacterial small subunit ribosomal RNA", at positions 346 to 794 of the family's 1533-position model. The record is from RNAcentral.
GCGCAGCAGUCGAGAAUUUUUCUCAAUGGGGGAAACCCUGAAGGAGCGACGCCGCGUGGAGGAUGAAGGUCUUCGGAUUGUAAACUCCUGUCAUUAGGGAACAAAUCUUCCAAGUAACUACUGGAAGUCUGAUAGUACCUGAAGAGGAAGAGACGGCUAACUCUGUGCCAGCAGCCGCGGUAAUACAGAGGUCUCAACCGUUGUUCGGAUUCAUUGGGCGUAAAGGGUGCGUAGGCGGCGGAGUAAGUCAGGUGUGAAAUCUCGGGGCUCAACCCCGAAACUGCACUUGAUACUGCUUCGCUUGAGUAUUGGAGAGGAGAUUGGAAUUUACGGUGUAGCAGUGAGAUGCGUAGAUAUCGUAAGGAAGACCAGUGGCGAAGGCGAAUCUCUGGACAAUUACUGACGCUGAGGCACGAAGGCCAGGGGAGCAAACGGGAUUAGAUACCCGCGUAGU